RNAcentral lists this long non-coding RNA (1322 nucleotides) under Fukomys damarensis (Damara mole-rat). RNAcentral describes it as "lncRNA (ENSFDAG00000029526.1)". The record is from RNAcentral. Lineage: Eukaryota; Metazoa; Chordata; Mammalia; Rodentia; Bathyergidae.
AUGCGAACAACUUGGGUUAAUAAGGUUAAUAGGAGAUUCACCUGCCUCUUGUUAUUUACAGUGAGUACCCAGAUCUCUGUCCCGACAGAAGUCCAGUCUUUCAGAGAGGGGGACUUUAGCCCAGGAGUCAUCCGGCUGUGCCUGAGGGCUCCUGGGUCCUCCGGCGUCUCACCACAGCACUUACUCAGGCUCUGCUGCUGCCCACGGGACAAACGGGGUCCUCAGCAUGUCCACGGCAAUCUGAGGAAGGCAAAGAAGGAAACAAAGAAGCUGGCCACCCUACGGGGAUCCCAUAGGUGGUUCCCAGUGUCCCUGCCACCUGGCUGCUCACAGAAAAGGAACAGAUUCUAGAACAUCACUUCCCAAGGUGAAGUAUAUCCAUUUCAAUCUCUAAAUGAGGAAACUGCUGGUGCAGAAAAUCACUAAACAAAAAAGCAUACCCUUCAAAUGCCCUCAUGAAAGGACAUAUUCCCUGGCAGUGGAAUGAAGAAGCAAGCAACCAUUACAAAAGGGCACCAACACAAAGGAAAUGUGCGCACUCCAAAGUUCUGCGCCAGUCUCCCAGAUUGGUCAGCCAUUGGGUGCAGUGCUGUGCCAACAGCAAGGCUCUGGCAGAGGAAGAGAGAUCCCAGGAUGCAUUGCAGGGUCUCCGGAGUGGCACCAAGAAGAGAUUUCACAGUCCACAGCCAUGACCUCUGAGUUUCAAAACGCUAUGCUUAACCCAGGCCAAAGAUACCUUAGCUCCUUCACAAACUCAUCCCAGUCUACCCUACCCCAGCAUGUGCUCUCAGGUAAAGCUUUGCAAAGUACAAAUUCCAGUUUUCCAGGAUGCUAUGUCAUAAUGGCAAAAAUAUUGUAACUUGAUGUAAAAUGUGUUGUCAAUUCCUAAAUCUGCCUCUUACUAUUUUAUAAACCCGACCCAAUUCCAUAAACGAUGUCUACACAUUGGUUUUCUUGUAAGAAUUUAAUGGGAUCUGAUAUAUUAAAGGUCAUUGUUAAAUUGGUAAUAUUAUCUAAGUCUUUGCUGGCAUCAUUUACUACUUCUGUUUUAUAAGUCUUCUCCAGCUUAAAUUGACCUUUCGGGUUAGAAAGGAACCAGUUACCAAGGGCUGUGCAGAUUCAAACACUCUGAACCCCAAUCUCUAGUCCUAGUGCAGUGCUUCAUCAGAAAAUGGUUUUCACCAACCUAAAUGACAGAGAUCUCCAACUGCAGGGGCUGUGUUAGGUGACGAUGUGAUAGGGGUAAGACCUGUUCAUAAGAGCGGAGAUGUUCCUUUCAGCAUGGCUUCCAAGAUCAUGAUUGCAUCUUGCACUGGCUCUAC